GGUUCUGUGGUGCAGUGGUUAUCACGUCUGCUUUACACGCAGAAGAUCUCCGGUUCGAUCCCGGCCAGGUGCU
Angiostrongylus cantonensis (rat lungworm) is the source of this 73-nucleotide non-coding RNA. Lineage: Eukaryota; Metazoa; Nematoda; Chromadorea; Rhabditida; Metastrongylidae. The record is from Rfam.